This is a long non-coding RNA of Pantherophis guttatus, 256 nucleotides long. RefSeq lists it as uncharacterized. Lineage: Eukaryota; Metazoa; Chordata; Lepidosauria; Squamata; Colubridae. The record is from RefSeq and is a predicted model, not a curated record.
CAGCAUUUGAAGGCAGGAGAUGCUUGAGGCAUCAGUCAGCAUAGGUCAGAAAUGAUGGAGGAGACUCAGGAUUGCCCCUCUGGGAAGCUCAUGCGGUUCCAGGUCAAGCUUCAAAUGAGCUGCACCUCCAGAGGACUCCGUCCAUCGAUUUCCACAUCACCAGAGGAACAGACAGCCCAAGUGACAUGAUCUAGAGUUGGAAUCGUCACAUUUUUCACCCAGCAAGAUGGAUGCUCAGAGCCCACGAGCAUUGGUG